Long non-coding RNA from Cyprinus carpio carpio, 1138 nucleotides. The record is from Ensembl. Lineage: Eukaryota; Metazoa; Chordata; Actinopteri; Cypriniformes; Cyprinidae.
UUCAAUUGUUAUAACAAGUUGUUGAGCAGAAGGUCAUGAUAAUAUGAUACAAUAGUUAAUUUGCAAUGUUCAGUAUGCAGUGCAUGCAUAAUUAUUAGUCAACAUCCUGAUAAUAUUUUCCAAGCACAUUUUACCAAGUCCAAUUCCAAUCCUAUAUUAUACUUCUACAUUAAGUAAGUAACUGAUCGCAGUGUGCACCUUAAGCCAUCAGCGAGUUUCCUUUCUUUAGGUUGUGCAGAUAUAACCACCAUUGCACUGACAGGACCUGGCUGGACUCUCUAGAAAUACCAGUGGUCACUUUAGUUGGAGUCAGUGUUAGCUAGACUUGUUCCUGGAGGCCCACCAACAGUGCAUGUCUUGGACAUCUCACUAAUCUGACACAAAUUCUCUGCUCAGUUUCAGUACAGCUAAACUGGAGGAACUGCACUGAUGCCAAGCUGAGAGUAAUGUGCAGUCUGGUACAUUAGUGCAACAAUAUGGUUACACAGGAACAACUACACUGGGACAUUAUGACAGAUCUGAAACAAGUCACCUGAAACAUCUCUCCUGUCACCAGGCAGACUCUUUACAGACACUGAUGGGAUUAUCAGGCGGAAGCGGUAUUUGUCCUCCAUUUUCUCUUCCUAAGUGCCAGGGACCUGGAUUUGGCUGGUUUAAAGACCAUCCUUGCCCAUGUAAAGAGUCUCUCUAAUCCUUGUCUCUCUAAGAGUCUCUCUAAGCCAGCGACAUCCUGCCCUUGAUGUUGCUGUGACAGUCAGAUGAUCCAUAUAAGCUUGAAUGGGCGAUUGUUGAAUACUGGCCUAGUGCACCCAGUAAUGUUGCCUUUUGCUAGGCGAUGUCAUGCGGAAGUUGUUGUCCCAGAGGUAAAUCUCAAGCUGAAGUUUCUAUAAGGUAUCUGGGGCUUCUUGUCUGUGUGGUUCUCUGAUGCUGCUACUUGUUCCUGACCCUCUUUUAGUACUUUACCACAAAAAUGUGUAGCAUUUUACAUGCAUAUCUUAUUGAAUGAUGCCACACUGGUUGCUUAUUUCAUAAAUGUUGUGUGGCCUUUGUUUGUUUGCUUACAAGCACCAAAAACUAUUUACUUUAGAGCAGCGGUUCCCAGUUUCCCAGUUCCGGUCCUCUCCCCCCUACAUGCAUG